UUUAUUAGUCAUGGGUAUGUGAGAAAAAAAAUAAAGAGAAAGUAAGAGAGUUUCAUACAUCAAAUAUGGCCUCAAACACUUUUUCUUUGACUUCACCUCCCAUUUUCACGAGAAAAAUUUCAAUUAUGGGUUGUGAAAAUGCAAACAUAUGUACAAUUUUUUUAUUUUGGGAUGUGGUUGAAAAUGAUGGUGAACCCCCACCAUUGCAAUCUCAUCCAACUGCAGCUUAAUUAAAGAGUCAUAUGAAGAAAAAUCCAAUUACAAAGUAAGAACUUGCUUGUACUUCUCAGUU
Molecule: long non-coding RNA, 292 nt
Filed under: Carica papaya (papaya)
Lineage: Eukaryota; Viridiplantae; Streptophyta; Magnoliopsida; Brassicales; Caricaceae
Description: long non-coding RNA (CPAP_LNC015892)
Source: RNAcentral